Non-coding RNA from Pelobates cultripes (western spadefoot toad), 560 nucleotides. The record is from the annotation of a GenBank genome assembly. Lineage: Eukaryota; Metazoa; Chordata; Amphibia; Anura; Pelobatidae.
CAAAAAUCUCACAUUUGCAGUGCUGUUAUUACUGCAGGGGAUUCGGGGUGAGCGUAUGCAAAUUAAUUCAACAAAGAACCAAAUUUUUGCCUAAUUUAUUCCACUUUAAACAUGGAUUUCAUGGAGUAUAUGUUUGCUAUUUUCAACAGCUUUGAAAGACAACUCCGGAAGAGGUGUAAAAGCCAGAUAUAUAAUGUUUAUAUAUUUCCUUAAAUAGUAAUAGGCAUGCAGGAAUGUACACAAAAUGUUUUUUAACCCCUUAACGCCGUUACGGCGUUCUAUGCCGUCCAGCAUUAAGAGCCGUUGCAGCGGCCUAGAACGCGUAACGGCUUUCUAUCCCUGGAGGUCCGCGGUACUCACCUCUGCCGCGAUCCUCUUCUGGAGGGCUGCCUGACAGCCCAGGCAGCCCUCCUCCAGCAAAUGUGGCCCCCGGGGGCCAUGUGAUCGCUCUUUAAGAGCGAUCACAUGGCCCCCUAUAGCUGGCUGUGGAUCUGCCAGCAGGGGAACUGUCUGGAGUGUCAGACAGUCCCCCUGCUGGUGGGAAAGUAAAAAAAAAAAAA